GUGCUCGCUUCGGCAGUACAUGUACUAAAAUUGGAAAGAUACAGAGAAGAUUAGCAGGGCCCCUGUAAAAAAAAAAAAGAAAAGAAAAGAAGCAUUAGUCUUU
Small nuclear RNA from Sapajus apella (tufted capuchin), 103 nucleotides. Lineage: Eukaryota; Metazoa; Chordata; Mammalia; Primates; Cebidae. The record is from RefSeq and is a predicted model, not a curated record.